GUGGGGAAUAUUGGGCAAUGGGCGAAAGCCUGACCCAGCAACGCCGCGUGAAGGAAGAAGGUCUUCGGAUCGUAAACUUCUAUCCUUGGUGAAGAUAAUGACGGUAGCCGAGAAGGAAGCCCCGGCUAACUACGUGCCAGCAGCCGCGGUAAUACGUAGGGGGCAAGCGUUGUCCGGAAUGAUUGGGCGUAAAGGGCGCGUAGGCGGCCUGGUAAGUCUGGAGUGAAAGUCCUGCUUUUAAGGUGGGAAUUGCUUUGGAUACUGUCGGGCGUGAGUGCAGGAGAGGUAAGUGGAAUUCCCGGUGUAGCGGUGAAAUGCGUAGAGAUCGGGAGGAACACCAGUGGCGAAGGCGACUUACUGGACUGUAACUGACGCUGAGGCGCGAAAGUGUGGGGAGCAAACAGGAUUAGAAACCCGGGUAGUCC
Molecule: ribosomal RNA, 425 nt
Filed under: uncultured bacterium
Lineage: Bacteria
Description: partial 16S ribosomal RNA
Rfam family: Bacterial small subunit ribosomal RNA
Source: RNAcentral